GAUGAACGCUGGCGGCGUGCCUAAUACAUGCAAGUCGAGCGAACAGACGAGGAGCUUGCUCCUCUGACGUUAGCGGCGGACGGGUGAGUAACACGUGGAUAACCUACCUAUAAGACUGGGAUAACUUCGGGAAACCGGAGCUAAUACCGGAUAAUAUAUUGAACCGCAUGGUUCAAUAGUGAAAGACGGUUUUGCUGUCACUUAUAGAUGGAUCCGCGCCGCAUUAGCUAGUUGGUAAGGUAACGGCUUACCAAGGCGACGAUGCGUAGCCGACCUGAGAGGGUGAUCGGACACACUGGAACUGAGACACGGUCCAGACUCCUACGGGAGGCAGCAGUAGGGAAUCUUCCGCAAUGGGCGAAAGCCUGACGGAGCAACGCCGCGUGAGUGCUGAAGGUCUUCGGAUCGUAAAACUCUGUUAUUAGGGAAGAACAAAUGUGUAAGUAACUAUGCACGUCUUGACGGUACCUAAUCAGAAAGCCACGGCUAACUACGUG
Molecule: ribosomal RNA, 497 nt
Filed under: uncultured bacterium
Lineage: Bacteria
Description: partial 16S ribosomal RNA
Rfam family: Bacterial small subunit ribosomal RNA
Source: RNAcentral